RNAcentral lists this ribosomal RNA (450 nucleotides) under uncultured bacterium. Its description in RNAcentral is "bacterial SSU rRNA". It matches the Rfam family "Bacterial small subunit ribosomal RNA", at positions 355 to 820 of the family's 1533-position model. The record is from RNAcentral.
UGGGGAAUCUUGGACAAUGGGGGCAACCCUGAUCCAGCCAUGCCGCGUGAGUGAUGAAGGCCUUAGGGUCGUAAAGCUCUUUCGCCUGUGAAGAUAAUGACGGUAGCAGGUAAAGAAACCCCGGCUAACUCCGUGCCAGCAGCCGCGGUAAUACGGAGGGGGUUAGCGUUGUUCGGAAUUACUGGGCGUAAAGCGCACGUAGGCGGAUCGGAAAGUUGGGGGUGAAAUCCCGGGGGCUCAACCCCGGAACUGCCUCCAAAACUAUCGGUCUAGAGUUCGAGAGAGGUGAGUGGAAUUCCGAGUGUAGAGGUGAAAUUCGUAGAUAUUUGGAGGAACGACCAGUGGCGAAGGCGGCUCACUGGCUCGAUACUGACGCUGAGGUGCGAAAGUGUGGGGAGCGAACAGGAUUAGAUACCCUGGUAGUCCACACCGUAAACGAUGAAUGCCAGU